CCUACGGGAGGCAGCAGUGAGGAAUAUUGGUCAAUGGGCGGAAGCCUGAACCAGCCAAGUAGCGUGCGGGAUGAAGGCCCUACGGGUCGUAAACCGCUUUUGCACGGGGAUAACACCCUCCACUUGUGGAGGUCUGCAGGUACCGUGCGAAUAAGGGCCGGCAAAUUCCGUGCCAGCAGCCGCGGUAAUACGGAAGGCCCGAGCGUUAUCCGGAUUCAUUGGGCUUAAAGGGAGCGUAGGCGGGCGUUCACGUCAGCGGUAAAAUCGCGCGGUUAAACCCCGUCGUGCCGUUGAAACGGAUGUUCUUGAGUGGGCGAGAGGUAUGCGGAAUGCGUGGUGUAGCGGUGAAAUGCAUAGAUAUAACGAAGAACUCCGAUUGCGAAGGCAGCAUACCGGCGCCCAACUGACGCUGAAGCACGAAAGCGUGGGUAUCGAACAGGAUUAGAUACCCGAGUAGUC
RNAcentral lists this ribosomal RNA (459 nucleotides) under uncultured bacterium. RNAcentral describes it as "partial 16S ribosomal RNA". It matches the Rfam family "Bacterial small subunit ribosomal RNA", at positions 338 to 795 of the family's 1533-position model. The record is from RNAcentral.